Molecule: ribosomal RNA, 119 nt
Filed under: Triticum aestivum (bread wheat)
Lineage: Eukaryota; Viridiplantae; Streptophyta; Magnoliopsida; Poales; Poaceae
Source: RNAcentral
GGAUGCGAUCAUAGCAGCACUAAAGCAUCGGAUCCCAUCAGAACUCCGAAGUUAAGUGUGCUUGGGCGAGAGUAGUACUAGGAUGGGUGACCUCCUCGGAAGUCCUCGUGUUGCAUUCC